AAAUGUAAAAGUGGGACUGAACUUCCAGAUCUGUGUAUAACUUAUGGGCAAGUGUGGUCUUCCCUACGCCACCCUUGCCGUAUAUGCAAAUAACUCUGUCUUUGCCAUCAAGCAGAGCAGAUUUUAGAGUUUGAAGGCUGUGAUCCUUCACAACAAUAUCGUUUUCUCCAGAGUCAAAGAUGCGUCUCCUCAACUUUGGUCGGAUCUCGGUUUCUCUAUUCUCAUUUGCUGACUGAGAUAUUUCUUCUGUCGGACUGAAUGAUUUUAAAGUUUUAAAAUGCCAAGUGGUCAUCCUUAUCUGCAUACUAAUUUCUUUAACAUCUAAAUCAGCCAUCCGCACGGACUUGAAAUCAUCAAUGAAUUUUCCAACUAUGCUUCUGCCUCUUCUGCGUUGGACCUCAUUGAAAUAAAUUUCAAGGACAUUUUGAAGUCUUGAAACAAAGUCUCUAAUUUCCCUUUCCAGGUAAUGUUCACUUGACCCUUACUUUUUUUCUUAUCUAGAUCUUUUAAUAAACGGUGCCAAAAUCUAGCUUCCGUUGUUUAUAUCAGGAACUAAAUAUGUUCGAAAUUCUUGUAACGAUCCAUCAUUUUCAUAUCCAUUGAUCAAUGAGUCAUCCAUUUUCUUUCUCACAGUAGGGACCAGCAAAAGAUUCUGAAAUUUUGGUCAGAUAUUUCUCAAUAGUGUCAAGUUACAUUCCUCAUCAUUGCAUCGCACUCAUAUGCAUCCCAACUCAGAGGAACUGUAAUAACUUAAUGUGUACCUAUCACAACAGAGAAAAUGUUUAUCCCGUUAAUCAAUCUGGUCUAUAAGUAGUUCCAAACUAAUUGCAUCACUUUUCUCUUUUGACAAGAUCUAUAACUUCAUUAAUCCAUAUCACCACGAGUCGUGGUUGACAACUAUAAUGGAAUGCAAAUUAGUCCAACUAGUGAUAUCAAAAGUUGGAGAACAAAGGAUGCUACAGUGUGGGCUACUUCUUUCCUCCCGUGGGAAUGAGGCAAUAAGACCAAAAUUGACAGCACCAAAUAGUGUUACAAUACCACAAUUUCAUCCACUUUUAAUCUGUUUACAUUUUGAUCUCAGAUUGUAAUGCUCUUUCGGAGAAAAUUCAAAUAAGAUAUAGUUAUAUAGAGAGGAAAAUAAAAACUUUUUGAGGCGUGGUUAAAUUGAUACAAGAAAGAACUUUUUGAUAAUAAUUGGUUUAAAUAUGCUCCUAGGAGAGAAGUAAUUCAAUAUUCAGUUCCGAUAAUCAGCAAAUUUUCAAUAAAAAUGUUAGAUUUUAUAGAUUUUUCAAAUGGCCCACAUGCUACUCCAAAUUCUCAUCUACACAACUCAUACCACCACCAAAUACUUUUAAAUCUCUUCAACUUCCUGUAUUUAUAAUUUACGUUUGCUCGUUUUCACCAACAAAUUGAAGUUGUGCAAAAACGCACUUUCGCAAAUAUCAAUGUUAUUCUAAUUGAUAUCGAACCAAAAACAGGGAUUUUUCUCAUAAAAGCCACUAAUUACAGCUUCAUUUGAAUUUUUGCUUACUGAGAAAUGAAAUCCAUAACUAAUAUGCAUAUGACAUAUGAGUAUGAGUACACUUACUUGGAGAUUGCAACGUAGAAUCUCUGGUCAGUAUCUCCUUCAGGAUGCAAUCAGUCGUAAGUACGGCUUCACAGUUCUAACCCAUAUGAAUCAAAUUUUGUCCUAAAAGUCUUACCUAAAGAGGCUGGCCAUAUGGAUGCCAAUUAUUUUAAUAUUUUGGUUGACUGCAAUGUCAUUUUUUAAUUUUUCAUUUUUUUUAUUUUUUUGUCUAUCCACGAGAAUAUGUUUCUUAAAAUACACGUCCAUGUCCGUAACAACAAGUUGCAUACCUAACCUAAAGAUUAACAUGUACACGUUACCAAUACAAUACAAUAUAAUUUUUCUCCCUUAUUUUUAUCAAUACAAUAUUUCAUAAAAUAAUAUUCACGUAAAAUGAAAAAAAUUCUUCUUUUUUAACCUCACAUUCUGUAAAAAAACAUUAUUCCAACAAUUAUAGCCCCAAAUAGUAUUCUAACUUCAUAAUCUUGUAGCAAUAGUUUUCUAAAGUUCAUAAUUUUGUAGUAAUUGUGUUCUCAUAAAUCAUGUUCUCAAUCAAAUAUAUAAAACAUUAUUCUACUGUGAAAGUUAAUUAGAUAUUUGAUUCAAGAACUAGUUUCUAUUAUAUCAUGAUAAACCAAAUAUACAUAAAUAUAAAUUUAAACAUUAACAGAUUUCACUUUUAUCGAUAUAAAUCAAACUUGUAAGGUACAAUAAUUUUAUAUAUUUGAUAAUAAGUAAUACUCUCCUCCACCCAUCUUUUUAUCUUCUUGACCGUCGAUCGACAUGAUGAUAUCUAAUUGUUUGUUUGGCAUAACUUUUGAAAAGCUAAAAUGAGUUUCUAAGAUCUAAAGAUUAUUUUUGGACCCAUUUGACUAAUUCUAUAAAAGUGUUUCUUCUAAAUAGAAGAACUUUUAAUGAAAGUCAAUCGAAAGCUCCUUUUUAAAUUAAUUUUCAAACAAAAAAGAAACUAAUAUCUUCAUAAGAUCUUCCACGAAAAAAGAAAAAAGAAGGAAAAAAAAGAAAGAAAAAAGAAAAGAAAAGAAAGACCAACGAAAAAGUUAUGCCAAAACAUCUAACACCUUGACACCCAUAAUUAAUACGAUAAUGAUGUUAUUGCUGUUGUCAUUCUAUGUGGUCCAAUGUCACAUAUUUUUGUCACUUUCUAUAGCCCAAUGUCACCAGCUCAACACCUAACACCAAUAAUUAAUAUGAUAUGAUUUUUGUUUUCAGGAUUACGAGUGUUUGGGCCAAUUUAGCCACAUCUCGACUAAUUUCACGAAACCUUGAAGUAUACACUCAGGUACUCAUUUCAG
Molecule: long non-coding RNA, 2880 nt
Filed under: Olea europaea (common olive)
Lineage: Eukaryota; Viridiplantae; Streptophyta; Magnoliopsida; Lamiales; Oleaceae
Description: long non-coding RNA (OEUR_LNC015671)
Source: RNAcentral